RNAcentral lists this ribosomal RNA (253 nucleotides) under uncultured bacterium. RNAcentral's name for it is "partial 16S ribosomal RNA". It matches the Rfam family "Bacterial small subunit ribosomal RNA", at positions 524 to 776 of the family's 1533-position model. The record is from RNAcentral.
UACAGAGGGGGCAAGCGUUGUUCGGAAUUACUGGGCGUAAAGGGCGCGUAGGUGGCCUUCUAAGUUGAACGUGAAAUCCCUGGGCUCAACCCAGGAACUGCGUCCAAGACUGGGAGGCUUGAGUCCGGGAGAGGGAUGCGGAAUUCCAGGUGUAGCGGUGAAAUGCGUAGAUAUCUGGAGGAACACCGGUGGCGAAGGCGGCAUCCUGGACCAAUAUUGACGCUGAGGAGCGAAAGCCAGGGGAGCAAACGGG